RNAcentral lists this long non-coding RNA (468 nucleotides) under Calidris pugnax (ruff). RNAcentral's name for it is "lncRNA (ENSCPUG00000008927.1)". The record is from RNAcentral. Lineage: Eukaryota; Metazoa; Chordata; Aves; Charadriiformes; Scolopacidae.
GCGUUCUGAUUGGGCGGGGCGGCACGGCGUAGCGUGGUUUAAAAAUACAAAGGGAGGCAGGAGGGCGCUGAGAGGAAUCGGUCGGGGGCGGCGGGCGGCCUGCGGCGGCGCCGCAGACCGCCGCCGCAGACCGCCGCCGCCCCCCCUGGGGCUUCAUCGAGCAUCGUUUUGAGGUGAAAAAACGACGUUUCCCCCCAAUAAUUUAGUCAGGUUUGUGGGGAUUUGGCACUCCGAACGCUCUCCCCCCACCCUUGCAGAAUCACCUCAGAGCGCAGAGGAAGAAGCCAGGCCCGCAAGCUUUGAAAAUGCCUGUUUCUUGGAAAGUGCUGUUUUGUUUGGUGAAUUGAGCUGCCAGGGCACGAUGCUGUUCCUGUGCAGACGAAACCACAAACUCUGUCCCCAGAGAUCCCCUGGCUGGUGCUCUCCUAAAAUCUGGGAUCGGCGCGGCACUGACUCCGGUGGGUCCGC